This 997-nucleotide ribosomal RNA is filed under the name human gut metagenome. RNAcentral describes it as "bacterial LSU rRNA". It matches the Rfam family "Bacterial large subunit ribosomal RNA", at positions 1934 to 2925 of the family's 2925-position model. The record is from RNAcentral.
CCGUAACUAUAACGGUCCUAAGGUAGCGAAAUUCCUUGUCGGGUAAGUUCCGACCUGCACGAAUGGCGUAAUGAUGGCCAGGCUGUCUCCACCCGAGACUCAGUGAAAUUGAACUCGCUGUGAAGAUGCAGUGUACCCGCGGCAAGACGGAAAGACCCCGUGAACCUUUACUAUAGCUUGACACUGAACAUUGAGCCUUGAUGUGUAGGAUAGGUGGGAGGCUUUGAAGCGUGGACGCCAGUCUGCGUGGAGCCAACCUUGAAAUACCACCCUUUAAUGUUUGAUGUUCUAACGUUGGCCCCUGACCGGGGUUGCGGACAGUGUCUGGUGGGUAGUUUGACUGGGGCGGUCUCCUCCCAAAGAGUAACGGAGGAGCACGAAGGUUAGCUAAUCCUGGUCGGACAUCAGGAGGUUAGUGCAAUGGCAUAAGCUAGCUUGACUGCGAGCGUGACGGCGCGAGCAGGUGCGAAAGCAGGUCAUAGUGAUCCGGUGGUUCUGAAUGGAAGGGCCAUCGCUCAACGGAUAAAAGGUACUCCGGGGAUAACAGGCUGAUACCGCCCAAGAGUUCAUAUCGACGGCGGUGUUUGGCACCUCGAUGUCGGCUCAUCACAUCCUGGGGCUGAAGUAGGUCCCAAGGGUAUGGCUGUUCGCCAUUUAAAGUGGUACGCGAGCUGGGUUUAGAACGUCGUGAGACAGUUCGGUCCCUAUCUGCCGUGGGCGCUGGAGAAUUGAGGGGGGCUGCUCCUAGUACGAGAGGACCGGAGUGGACGCAUCACUGGUGUUCGGGUUGUCAUGCCAAUGGCAUUGCCCGGUAGCUAAAUGCGGAAGAGAUAAGUGCUGAAAGCAUCUAAGCACGAAACUUGCCCCGAGAUGAGUUCUCCCUGAGACUUUAAGUCUCCUGAAGGAACGUUAAAGACGAUGACGUUGAUAGGUCGGGUGUGUAAGCGUAGCGAUACGUUGAGCUAACCGAUACUAAUGAACCGUGAGGCUUAACCUU